RNAcentral lists this ribosomal RNA (515 nucleotides) under uncultured bacterium. Its description in RNAcentral is "partial 16S ribosomal RNA". It matches the Rfam family "Bacterial small subunit ribosomal RNA", at positions 28 to 523 of the family's 1533-position model. The record is from RNAcentral.
GAUGAACGCUGGCGGCGUGCCUAAUACAUGCAAGUCGAGCGAAUGGAUUAAGAGCUUGCUCUUAUGAAGUUAGCGGCGGACGGGUGAGUAACACGUGGGUAACCUGCCCAUAAGACUGGGAUAACUCCGGGAAACCGGGGCUAAUACCGGAUAACAUUUUGAACCGCAUGGUUCGAAAUUGAAAGGCGGCUUCGGCUGUCACUUAUGGAUGGACCCGCGUCGCAUUAGCUAGUGGGUGAGGUAACGGCUCACCAAGGCAACGAUGCGUAGCCGCCCUGAGAGUGUGGUCGGCCACACUGGGACUGAGAAACGGCCCAGACUCCGGCGGGAGGCAGCAGUAGGGAAUCUUCCGCAAUGGACGAAAGUCUGACGGAGCAACGCCGCGUGAGUGAUGAAGGCUUUCGGGUCGUAAAACUCUGUUGUUAGGGAAGAACAAGUGCUAGUUGAAUAAGCUGGCACCUUGACGGUACCUAACCAGAAAGCCACGGCUAACUACGUGCCAGCCGCCGCGGUAA